GAUGAAGAACGUAGCGAAAUGCGAUAAGUAAUGUGAAUUGCAGAAUUCAGUGAAUCAUCGAGUCUUUGAACGCACAUUGCGCCCUCUGGUAUUCCGGAGGGCAUGCCUGUCCGAGCGUCAUUGCUGCCCUCAAGCACGGCUUGUGUGUUAGGCCCCGUCCUCCGCUCGCGGGGGACGGGCCUGAAAGGCAGCGGCGGCACCGCGUCCGGUCCUCGAGCGUAUGGGGCUUUGUCACCCGCUCUGUAGGCCCGGCCGGCGCCUGCCGAUCAACCACACUUUUAUUCAGGUUGACCUCGGAUCAGGUAGGGAUACCCGCUGAACUUAAGCAUAUCAAUAAGCGGAGGA
This 345-nucleotide unclassified non-coding RNA is filed under the name soil metagenome. RNAcentral describes it as "partial contains 5.8S ribosomal RNA, internal transcribed spacer 2, and large subunit ribosomal RNA". The stretch from base 1 to 120 matches the Rfam family "5.8S ribosomal RNA", at positions 35 to 154 of the family's 154-position model. The record is from RNAcentral.